This 468-nucleotide ribosomal RNA is filed under the name uncultured bacterium. Its description in RNAcentral is "partial 16S ribosomal RNA". It matches the Rfam family "Bacterial small subunit ribosomal RNA", at positions 28 to 507 of the family's 1533-position model. The record is from RNAcentral.
GAUGAACGCUGGCGGCGUGCUUAACACAUGCAAGUCGAACGGACAGGCCCUGCUCUUGUGGCGUGCUCGUGUGGCGAACGGGUGAGUAACACGUGAGUAACCUGCCCUUGACUUUGGGAUAACUUCAGGAAACUGGGGCUAAUACCGGAUAGGAGCUCCUGAUGCAUGGUGGGGGUUGGAAAGAUUCGGCGGUUGGGGAUGGACUCGCGGCUUAUCAGCUUGUUGGUGGGGUAGUGGCUUACCAAGGCUUUGACGGGUAGCCGGCCUGAGAGGGUGACCGGCCACAUUGGGACUGAGAUACGGCCCAGACUCCUACGGGAGGCAGCAGUCGGGAGUAUUGCGCAAUGGGCGGAAGCCUGAUGCAGCAACGCCGCGUGCGGGAUGACGGCCUACGGGUUGUAAACCGCUUUCGCCUGUGACGAAGCGUGAGUGACGGUAAUGAGUAAAGAAGCACCGGCUAACUACGUG